AUAACAUACAUUAUCGCAGAGAUAAUUGUUCAUUUAUUUAUUUUGUGAUAAAAAUAGGUUCUUAUACUAUAAGACAUUAAAUGCGAGUCCCCUCAAUGCAUCGUUCCAAUCAAAGCAGGUAGUCCGUGAUGUGCUUGUGAUAGUGUUUCAGCGGCAGGCCGGACAGCGAUUGCGCGUUUUGCAGGAAAGUGUCGGUCUGUUUUUCGUAGCGCCACGAGAGGCUCAUUAGUGCCAGAGUGAGCAACGAGCUGAUCACGAAGAACCAUAAGACUAGACAAGUGAGAGAUCGGCAUAGCCCAGUGCCUGAAAUAAUUCAGCAGUCAUCGAACAAUUGAUGAUGUUAAAUCAGAGAUCGGAUUGAAAGGGUGAAAAUUAUAUUACCUGUAGCUUUGUCUGAUUUACGCGCGCACACGUUGGACGACAAUUCUGCCAAUCUUGCAUUGUUAUCAUCGUUGUUCCGAGAAUUGCCCGUAUUUUGUGUUUGGGACUCAAUCUUACCUCCACUCGUCUUGCUCUCCUUCUCUGCGUUCCUCUUCUUUUUCUUCUUGCUCUCCUUCUUUGUUGUUACCUCUCCCGUCUCACCUGAAACGUACAAUGUAAGAGUGUACGUAAUUCAAGCUAGGCAGUGAACAAUUUACC
Long non-coding RNA from Ooceraea biroi (clonal raider ant), 639 nucleotides. RefSeq lists it as uncharacterized. NCBI's taxonomy places the organism in Eukaryota, Metazoa, Arthropoda, Insecta, Hymenoptera, Formicidae. The record is from RefSeq and is a predicted model, not a curated record.